GUAUACGUGUAUUUGUUACCUGCCUCACAUGCAGGGGGUCGCUGGUUCGAAUCCAGCUGUCUCCACCA
This 68-nucleotide transfer RNA is filed under the name Bacillota bacterium. Its description in RNAcentral is "Firmicutes bacterium (gut metagenome) tRNA-Ser". It matches the Rfam family "tRNA". Rfam says of the family: Transfer RNA (tRNA) molecules are approximately 80 nucleotides in length. The record is from RNAcentral. Lineage: Bacteria; Bacillati; Bacillota.